RNAcentral lists this ribosomal RNA (253 nucleotides) under uncultured bacterium. Its description in RNAcentral is "partial 16S ribosomal RNA". It matches the Rfam family "Bacterial small subunit ribosomal RNA", at positions 524 to 776 of the family's 1533-position model. The record is from RNAcentral.
UACGGAGGGGGCUAGCGUUGUUCGGAAUUACUGGGCGUAAAGCGCGCGUAGGCGGACCAUCAAGUUGGGGGUGAAAUCCCGGGGCUCAACCUUGGAACUGCCUCCGAAACUGCUGGUCUUGAGUUCGAGAGAGGUGAGUGGAAUUCCGAGUGUAGAGGUGAAAUUCGUAGAUAUUCGGAGGAACAUCAGUGGCGAAGGCGACUCACUGGGCCAUUACUGACACUGAGGUGCGAAAGCGUGGGUAGCAAACAGG